ACAAAAUAUUAAAAAAAAGAGAGUCUUUGAAUAUGCUGUACUAUUUUAAAUACAUUUGUCUUUUCAAUUCUAUUUAACCUAGGUUAAUAUUAAAAUCAAUUUGUGUGUGUGUGUGUGUGUGUGUGUGUGCGCGCGCUCGCGCGCGCGCGCGCCCACACGCCCGCACACACAUGUGCUGGGGAUUGAA
Molecule: small RNA, 187 nt
Filed under: Marmota monax (woodchuck)
Lineage: Eukaryota; Metazoa; Chordata; Mammalia; Rodentia; Sciuridae
Source: RNAcentral